UCGCACGAGCCCCCGGGCAUCUCUGAAUGAAUAUAAGUUUUGACGAAGAAUGCCCCAAAGCUUGUGCUACAACGCAAGCCGUCUGUGUUGCAGUUUAGCCUCUGUACCUCACUUUCCCUUGGCUAUUUCUGUGUCAAAUCCGACGGCAACAUAU
This is a small nucleolar RNA of Rhododendron vialii, 154 nucleotides long. RefSeq annotates it as small nucleolar RNA snoR134. NCBI's taxonomy places the organism in Eukaryota, Viridiplantae, Streptophyta, Magnoliopsida, Ericales, Ericaceae. The transcript has a single exon. The record is from RefSeq and is a predicted model, not a curated record.